RNAcentral lists this ribosomal RNA (557 nucleotides) under uncultured Vibrio sp. RNAcentral describes it as "bacterial SSU rRNA". It matches the Rfam family "Bacterial small subunit ribosomal RNA", at positions 315 to 868 of the family's 1533-position model. Lineage: Bacteria; Pseudomonadati; Pseudomonadota; Gammaproteobacteria; Vibrionales; Vibrionaceae. The record is from RNAcentral.
AUUGCGGGGGCACGGGGGGCCUACGGGAGGCAGCAGUGGGGAAUAUUGCACAAUGGGCGAAAGCCUGAUGCAGCCAUGCCGCGUGUAUGAAGAAGGCCUUCGGGUUGUAAAGUACUUUCAGUUGUGAGGAAGGGUGUGUAGUUAAUAGCUGCGCAUCUUGACGUUAGCAACAGAAGAAGCACCGGCUAACUCCGUGCCAGCAGCCGCGGUAAUACGGAGGGUGCGAGCGUUAAUCGGAAUUACUGGGCGUAAAGCGCAUGCAGGUGGUUCAUUAAGUCAGAUGUGAAAGCCCGGGGCUCAACCUCGGAACUGCAUUUGAAACUGGUGAACUAGAGUGCUGUAGAGGGGGGUAGAAUUUCAGGUGUAGCGGUGAAAUGCGUAGAGAUCUGAAGGAAUACCAGUGGCGAAGGCGGCCCCCUGGACAGACACUGACACUCAGAUGCGAAAGCGUGGGGAGCAAACAGGAUUAGAUACCCUGGUAGUCCACGCCGUAAACGAUGUCUACUUGGAGGUUGUGGCCUUGAGCCGUGGCUUUCGGAGCUAACGCGUUAAGUAGA